Molecule: non-coding RNA, 97 nt
Organism: Acanthosepion pharaonis
Lineage: Eukaryota; Metazoa; Mollusca; Cephalopoda; Sepiida; Sepiidae
Source: the annotation of a GenBank genome assembly
UGAAAGACAGGUUUCCAUACGAUGACCGAAGUUAAGUAACCUCGAGCCUGGUCAGUACCUAGAUGGGUGACCAAUUGGGAAGAUCUGCUGCUGUAAU